This 173-nucleotide small nuclear RNA is filed under the name Suricata suricatta (meerkat). Its description in RNAcentral is "U1 spliceosomal RNA (ENSSSUG00005015566.1)". It matches the Rfam family "U1 spliceosomal RNA". From Rfam's summary of the family: U1 is a small nuclear RNA (snRNA) component of the spliceosome (involved in pre-mRNA splicing). Its 5' end forms complementary base pairs with the 5' splice junction, thus defining the 5' donor site of an intron. The record is from RNAcentral. Lineage: Eukaryota; Metazoa; Chordata; Mammalia; Carnivora; Herpestidae.
AUACUUAUGUAAAGUUAAGAACAAAUGUACAAUUUACUUGAUCACAAAGGUAAUUUACCAGGAGGAGGCUUAUCCACACUCCAGAUGUGCUGGCUUGUGCAAUUUUUCCAAAUGUGGGAAACUUGACUACUUAAUUUGUGAUAAUGGAGGAACUGCAUUCAUGCUUUCCUCUG